Molecule: ribosomal RNA, 253 nt
Filed under: uncultured bacterium
Lineage: Bacteria
Description: partial 16S ribosomal RNA
Rfam family: Bacterial small subunit ribosomal RNA
Source: RNAcentral
UACGGAGGGUGCAAGCGUUAUCCGGAUUCACUGGGUUUAAAGGGUGCGUAGGUGGCGCCGUAAGUCGGGUGUGAAAUCUCGGGGCUUAACUCCGAAACUGCAUUCGAUACUGCGGUGCUUGAGGACUGGAGAGGAGACUGGAAUUCAUGGUGUAGCAGUGAAAUGCGUAGAGAUCAUGAGGAAGACCAGUGGCGAAGGCGGGUCUCUGGACAGUUCCUGACACUGAGACACGAAGGCCAGGGGAGCAAACGGG